This 82-nucleotide transfer RNA is filed under the name Halococcoides cellulosivorans. It matches the Rfam family "tRNA". Rfam says of the family: Transfer RNA (tRNA) molecules are approximately 80 nucleotides in length. Their secondary structure includes four short double-helical elements and three loops (D, anti-codon, and T loops). The record is from Rfam by way of RNAcentral. Lineage: Archaea; Methanobacteriati; Methanobacteriota; Halobacteria; Halobacteriales; Haloarculaceae.
UCCGCGGUAGCCAAGUGGUCGACGGCAGCGGGCUUAAGACCCGCCGGAUAGACCUUCGGAGGUUCGAAUCCUCCCCGCGGAA